RNAcentral lists this ribosomal RNA (460 nucleotides) under uncultured bacterium. Its description in RNAcentral is "partial 16S ribosomal RNA". It matches the Rfam family "Bacterial small subunit ribosomal RNA", at positions 338 to 795 of the family's 1533-position model. The record is from RNAcentral.
CCUACGGGGCGCAGCAGUGAGGAAUAUUGGUCAAUGGACGAGAGUCUGAACCAGCCAAGUAGCGUGAAGGAUGACUGCCCUAUGGGUUGUAAACUUCUUUUAUAUGGGAAUAAAAUGUUCCACGUGUGGGAUUUUGUAUGUACCAUAUGAAUAAGGAUCGGCUAACUCCGUGCCAGCAGCCGCGGUAAUACGGAGGAUCCGAGCGUUAUCCGGAUUUAUUGGGUUUAAAGGGAGCGUAGGUGGAUUGUUAAGUCAGUUGUGAAAGUUUGCGGCUCAACCGUAAAAUUGCAGUUGAAACUGGCAGUCUUGAGUACAGUAGAGGUGGGCGGAAUUCGUGGUGUAGCGGUGAAAUGCUUAGAGAUCACGAAGAACUCCGAUUGCGAAGGCAGUUCACUGGACUGCAACUGACACUGAGGCUCGAAAGUGUGGGUAUCAAACAGGAUUAGAUACCCGAGUAGUC